Long non-coding RNA from Gallus gallus (chicken), 2607 nucleotides. The record is from Ensembl. Lineage: Eukaryota; Metazoa; Chordata; Aves; Galliformes; Phasianidae.
CAACACCACUGUAAAACUUUGCCUCGACCCCACUGCAUGGUUAUGGGGCUGUAAAGCUGCAGGAAUGCCAAGAUCGUGGCUGGUCAAGGACAGGGAGGGAAGGAGAAGGUGGGGAGGAGGAACAAAAAGCUGAGGCGAGAGCCUGGAGAAGGGGGACCUGCUGUCUGUUUGAACUUCACUGGGCAGGAGGCAGCCCUGGACCUGCACCCAGACCUGGGCCUGCACACCACAGGAGCAUACAAUGGUGCUGUGCAUGUCUUGUCCUGGCAUCAGAGAUGGAGUUCAGCUUUGAGGAGCCACUUCGAAAGUGAGAAAAUCUGUGGUGAGAUCUCCUUCAAGUGAGAUGCUGCCAUUCGAAGCUCUCAAUUUCAGGAUUUCCUAAUAACAAGGUGCCACAAGGAUGGAUAAAAUUCCUUAAAGCUGUGACAAAUGGCAGUCUUUUGGGCAGAAGACAGAUUUCCAACCUGUUCCACCACAUUAUCAGGCACCUGUUGGAGAAAGACCUGCUGAAAACCUCCAAGCUGCAAUAGGAAAUGCUCUGCCAGCAAACAAAAGUUUGCCAAAGAGGCCGCAUACAGCUGCUACAGCUUCUUGGGGCAACAAUUCUUGUUGCUGGUGGCUUCAGCUUUGUGGCAAGAAGCAUUUAUAUUCCUGCCCAGUGUGUUGGUGGGCCCUUCCCUGGGCUGGACCAUGGCUCCUGGAGGGCAUGCUGUAAUUAACACCAUCCAUCAUCAUCAGGAGCUGUGUGAUUAGGUUGUACCAGCAAAUUGCAUUACUCCCAGGAAGGGUGGGAUGUCCCUUUUGAAAAAUAGCCCCAUCAUUAGAUCUGAAGCAUCAGUGGGAAGCUAAGCCCAGCAGAUAAUCCUUUCAGAGCUGGCUGAUAUUCUCUCCAGGGCUUUCACAAAUUUGCUAGGAGAGAGCAGGAGGUGCACUUUGCUUCCUAGAGAAGGGCUCCCAGGGGCACCAGCACUGUCGUCCCACAGGUUCAGAGCCCACCUGGAGGUCACGAGGGCUCAGACAUGCCAGCAAUGGUAGACAGCAAUGAGAGCUUGUCUGAGCUGUGUUAACAGGGGAGUCUCUGUAGAGCUCAUUCUUCAAGGCAAGGUAGGGAAAAAGACUUGAUCCACUCCCCAUUUUUGGGGUGCUUUAGAAUCUCCUAAUCUCCUGCACACACCAAGCUUGCAUUCUACCCCAGUCUGAUCCUAUCCCUUUAAGGUUACUCCCAAGCUAUAGGAGGUUUGGCAAAACAGCCUGAACUUUUCUUUGAAACUCAUUUGGGCUCAUGGUCCCCCAGGGCUUUCCCAUUCCUCCACUAAGAAGAUUCAUGAUCUCUGCCGUGGAGUGAAGGGCACGGCUGUCCUCACUGGAUUGCGCCCACAGGGAGGGCAGGCUACCAUCAAUAACAAGGAACAAAGCAGGAGAUGGGGAGGGAAUCAAUUAGACUGAACCUUACCUGGAUGGCAUUUUGGGGGAGGACAUAGACAGCUUUGAAAUACAGGCAAGGAGCUGCUGGCUGCAGCUGGUUUCUAUUAACCUCUUCUGCAGCGGGCUGCAGACCUGUGGGAGCCCCAGCCAGAGUUUGGGAAGGUCAUUCUUAGGGGCUGUGCUUACGUUGCUCAUACAGCUCAGGAGAAGCCAUUCAGUGACCAAUACUGUGGAAAAAAACAACAGAUUGCAACAGGAAUUAGUUGGGCAGGAGGGGGGAUAGGUGGGCAUCAGUCUUCAGAGCACCAAUCUCCCACUUGCCAACAUCAUCUCCACGUUCUUCAGCAGGUGUUUAACGUGCGGAGCACUGCUGCACAGAUGCAGACAAGCUCCCACACUACUCUGGUUCCAGCUUUGGGGGUGUUUUCCAGGGAUUGACCCCUUUCCCCUUCCCCCAGAGCUCCAGCAGCCUGAAGAUGUGCAUUCAAUGAGCCGUUUUACUGGCAGCAGGUGACUAUCUCCAGCAGAGGAACUGGAGCUGCUCUGCAAAGCAUGCCAGUAACUGUGCUGCUAUGGGGACACACCAUGGGAAUUCGCCCAGGACUGGAUGUUCAGCACUAGCUUUGCAGCUUCUUCUUGCUUCAUGCUCCCAUCAGAGGACUGCUGUGUGCCGUGGUUGCCCCAGGCAGCUGAAGAUUUGCAGCCACCUAUGUGCUCCCAGCCAUCGAGGAGCAGCGAGAUCGGGGCUGCUCUCACAAGAAGGUGAAGCCAAGGUGGGACCUAUACCCUCAGCAUCCAACCAAGAUGGACACAACCUAGAGUCCAGGUCAUAUGGCAACACCAUGGUGAUGAUGGAGGUCCAAGGCAAAGCUGGGAACUCAUCCUGCAGGCUGAGGUCCACAUCAAGGAGCCCCAUGGCUAGGCAUAGGCUGAAGCCCAGCACUCCUGCAGUUCACAGUCUGGGAAACAUGCACAGAUAUGCUACCUUCUUAUUACUAAUGUUUAUUAAUUAAAGAUAGAGUUUACAGACUGCUUCUGCAAGUACCAUUCAUUCCCAUAAGACCUUUCGGGGUGACAGAGGUAUUCACCUCUGACCACCCCAUGCCUCCUCAUCCUUUGGGUACUGCUGUGGAACUUAGCCCAGUCUCCGUGUAGGAUGGAGCAGAGCGUGAGCGAUGCUGG